This 275-nucleotide ribosomal RNA is filed under the name uncultured bacterium. Its description in RNAcentral is "partial 16S ribosomal RNA". It matches the Rfam family "Bacterial small subunit ribosomal RNA", at positions 338 to 611 of the family's 1533-position model. The record is from RNAcentral.
CCUACGGGCGGCUGCAGUAGGGAAUAUUGGGCAAUGCUCGCAAGAGUGACCCAGCCAUGCCGCGUGCAGGAAGAAGGCUUUCUGAGUUGUAAACUGCUUUUGGAAGGGAACAAAAGGGCCUUGCGAGGCAAAUUGAGUGUACCUUCAGAAUAAGCACCGGCUAACUCCGUGCCAGCAGCCGCGGUAAUACGGAGGGUGCAAGCGUUGUCCGGAUUUAUUGGGUUUAAAGGGUGCGUAGGCGGCCGCUUAAGUCAGGGGUGAAAGACUGCAGCUCA